This is an unclassified non-coding RNA of Mesocricetus auratus (golden hamster), 222 nucleotides long. Its record names the gene 7SK. It matches the Rfam family "7SK RNA". Rfam says of the family: 7SK was discovered as an abundant small nuclear RNA in the mid-70s but a possible function has only recently been suggested. Two independent studies have found that 7SK RNA binds the CDK9/cyclin T complex (known as elongation factor P-TEFb). P-TEFb activates transcription by phosphorylating the C-terminal domain of RNA polymerase II. The record is from Ensembl. NCBI's taxonomy places the organism in Eukaryota, Metazoa, Chordata, Mammalia, Rodentia, Cricetidae.
UGGCCACAGACUGAUCUAGCUGGCUAGCAGGUGCCUCCUUUCCCUGUCACUGCCCCUGUGGUAUGAACCCCCCUAAAGCUUCCUAUGCAGUCUAAGGGGUGGCCUACCCCGAGAGAGAAAAACUUUCUUUGGUCAAGAGUACAAGAGUAGCUCUACUCCCCUGCUAGAACCUUCAAACAAGGAAAUGAGGCAUUGCCUGUGGCAAUCUGCCUUGAAAAGUUU